Long non-coding RNA from Gadus morhua (Atlantic cod), 1340 nucleotides. RefSeq lists it as uncharacterized. Lineage: Eukaryota; Metazoa; Chordata; Actinopteri; Gadiformes; Gadidae. The transcript has 4 exons. The record is from RefSeq and is a predicted model, not a curated record.
ACUCUUGCCCAACAAAGGCUCUAUUCCCAUCACUGGUCUGGACAACACAGAGUCAACAUGACAAUGACUGCCCUCCUGCUCCUGGUGAUGAUCGCUCACUGCAUCGCUGUGCCUAUCCCCGGCGACGAGACGGACGAGAGGCUACAAGCAGAGAAAUUACUCGGCCGUUUCUACAAUCCCCCCUCUCGUCGCCCCGUUCGUCUGCUUGGAGCAAGGAAAUCUUCAGACGUUCUGCUGACCAAACUAAAGGAGAUGCAGGCUUCCUUCAACUUAACGGUACCUUGUAUUUAUUCGGUUUAUUAGGUUUGAGUACAGCUACAGGUCAAGGAAGGUCAUUUCUAUUGUUAGAGCCAACUCCAUUCUCAACUGCUGACAACGUUAAGAGAAUCUCCCUGCCUUCUUGAGAAACCAUUUGUUAAAUGCAAAAAUAUGAUAUACAAUAGUUGAAAGGGGGGAUAUUUUUAAUUUGAUUGUUUUUUUGUGCUGGACACUUAUAAUGUCAAUGUUGUCAGACACAGAAUUCUGGUCAAUUCUACGACUGCUGAAUGCUUUUUAGCUAUUUAUUUCUUUCAGAUCUUUUAAAAUGUUUUAAUAUAUAUAUCUAUAUAUAUCUAUAUAGAUACAUAUAUCUGUCUAUAUAUAUAUAUAAUAAUAAUAAUUAUAAUAAUAAUCUUUAUUUAUAAAGCGCUUUUCUAAACAGAGUUACAAAGUGCUUUGCAGAAAAAAGAAUAUACCCCUAUAUAUAUACCCUGCUGUGACAUUCGUGCUAAGGAAGAUUGUUUUUAAUAUGUAUGUUUCCUGGAAAAAGGUAACACAAAAUAAAGGUACAAAACAAAUGAUGUGUGCUUUGUAUAAAUUAGUUAGAAAAUAGAAACAAGAACUUAGUACUUUAAAAACACUUUUUAGGCAAUCUUGAAUAUUGUGUUUGAAUACAUUAUUCUGCAGUCAUCAAGGUCGACAAAUUAUAAGGUUCUAAAUAAUCCUAGUGUUUGAGUGUGUUGUGCCAAGGAGUAAAAUGUUAGACACGCACAACUCUUUCGAUAGAAUGUUUUUAAUUUUCCAAAGACUGCCUCAUUGGUUCCUGCCAGAACUGCCAAUUCAGGGAAACAAAAAUAUAUAUUAUAUCUAACAUGAUAGCCUGUAAUGAUUAUUUUGAUCCUGAGGUAAUGAUGCGGGCGUUUGCUAAGAUGUGUUACUUAAUGUACCCCACUAGGUGGCAAUCUUCUUAAGUAUUUCAGAUUGAGUCAGCAGAAACUCCAUUUAGCCCACACUGUACCUCCACCUAAGAGAUUGUAAUUUUUUCUAAUAAACAUUGUUAUGAGAUACAAUUGUUGACUCCA